This is a long non-coding RNA of Equus caballus (horse), 1627 nucleotides long. The record is from Ensembl. NCBI's taxonomy places the organism in Eukaryota, Metazoa, Chordata, Mammalia, Perissodactyla, Equidae.
GGGGCGGGGGCCGGAACCGGCCUCAGCUGGGGCCCGGCCGUCCCCCUCCCCCGCCCUCCUCCAGGUCUCCGGGGGAACGCGCAGCCAAUCCCCGCCGCCCACUGCGGGCUCGCCCCGGCCCGGGCCGCGGCGCGCCAGCCUUGGGCCGGGGCUUUUCCCCUCUCUCCCUCGCCAUCUCUCCCGCUCUGCUUUCCCCGUUCCCUUCUCCACGACGAGUUUUUAAACUUUGAUGAACUCGCCCAGCGAACUUUCUUAAAGGGGCCGCGCGCCCCGCGCUGUCCCAGCCCGCGGGAGGUGGAGCUGGGUGCCAGGCGCCCCGCGACCCCUCGCCCCCGGCAUCUCCGCCCCGGCGGCUCCACGCUAGGGGCGCCCGAAGCGGGGGUCCUGGGUCGUCGGCUUCGGGAAGUAGGCUCCUCUUGUACUCUGAUCCGGGUUAUAGGGUGUUCGGCAAACUCAUUUCACCCUCAAAUCCAGCCUCCCAGACCCGGUCCACGCUCUCUUCCCUCCCCCGAGCUCAGGGCUGCUGGGAGCCGGGUUCUGGAGAUGAUGGCUGGAGGGGGGGCGCCUAGACACCUGGGCUUUGGCCUUGGCUGGGCGCCGUUUUGCUACGUGACCUUGAGGAAAUCACUUCCCCUCUCUGGCCUCAGGCUUCCAGCCCAGAGGGUGGGACUUACAUCUCAAACUAAUCUUCCCGCUCCCAGUCACUGAAUAGGACCAAGGCUGGGAGACGAGCCUUUGGGACCCAAAUGGUUAUUAGCCCCAAGGAAGGGGUGCCUCGAGUGACCGAGAAGCUUCCAUUCGCCUCCCCCUCUCCCACCCAGCUUUUGGGUCCUCUCCUCCCUCGGCUUAAAUGCCUCCCCAGCACACACACACACACGCAUGCACACACACACAUUUCGCCGCCUCCUAUUCAGAGCCCGAGGGCGCGGGGAGGGGAAAGCAGGCUCGCGGCUCGGGCGGGGUCGUCGUGACUCCCCUCCACGGGUCUUGAGGGCGCGGCCCCGGGGUUGGUUUUCCUCUGAGUUUGAAAACCCGCGCCGCUAGGGGCCGGCCCUGCCGCCACCUCGGAAGAACCCGCGCCCACCUCGAGUCGCGCUUAAAGUGCAGCAGCCACAAGCCCGGCGGAGCCGCGCGGAGACUGGCCACCUCCCCGGCGCCCCCGCCUCCGAACUCGAGCUGCGCCCUGGGGGAUCCCGGCCAGAGGCUUCGUCGGGACUCGGGAAACCACUGCCGAGAGGUCAAAGGUUCCUGGCUUGGACCCUGGGCUCCCAGCUUACACCUCCCGCUCAGCAGACAGAGCCCCUGCCCCACCACCAGCUCCUAUCCAACCACUGGGCCAGUGGCUUUUGCAAUUGGGGAAACUGAAGUUCAGCAGCUGAAAUCAACUCACCUGAGGUCACACAGCAAGCAAGAUUAGCCCUGAGCUAACAUCUGCUACCAAUCCUCUUCUUUUUGCUGAGGAAGACUGGCCCUGAGCUAACAUCCGUGCCCAUCUUCCUCUACUUUAUAUGUGGGACACCUACCACAGCAUGGCUUGCCAAGCAGUGCCAUGUCCGUACCCGGGAUCCGAACCAGCAAACCCGGGCCACAGAAGUGGAACAUGCGUACUUAACCACUGCGCCAUCGG